AGUGAACGCUGGCGGUAGGCCUAACACAUGCAAGUCGAACGGCAGCACAGUAAGAGCUUGCUCUUACGGGUGGCGAGUGGCGGACGGGUGAGGAAUACAUCGGAAUCUACUUUUUCGUGGGGGAUAACGUAGGGAAACUUACGCUAAUACCGCAUACGACCUACGGCUGAAAGCAGGGGAUCUUCGGACCUUGCGCGAUUGAAUGAGCCGAUGUCGGAUUAGCUAGUUGGCGGGGUAAAGGCCCACCAAGGCGACGAUCCGUAGCUGGUCUGAGAGGAUGAUCAGCCCAACUGGAAAUGAGACACGGUCCAGACUCCUACGGGGGGGAGCAGGGGGGAAUAUUGGACAAUGGGCGCAAGCCUGAUCCAGCCAUACCGCGUGGGUGAAGAAGGCCUUCGGGUUGUAAAGCCCUUUUGUUGGGAAAGAAAAGCAGCAGGUUAAUACCCCGCUGUUCUGACGGUACCCAAAGAAUAAGCACCGGCUAACUUCGUG
RNAcentral lists this ribosomal RNA (492 nucleotides) under uncultured bacterium. Its description in RNAcentral is "partial 16S ribosomal RNA". It matches the Rfam family "Bacterial small subunit ribosomal RNA", at positions 29 to 507 of the family's 1533-position model. The record is from RNAcentral.